GGCUAGAGUUUGAUCAUGGCUCAGGACGAACGCUGGCGGCGCGCCUAACACAUGCAAGUCGAACGGAGUUGAGAGGAGCUUGCUUUUCUUGACUUAGUGGCGAACGGGUGAGUAACGCGUGAGGAACCUGCCUCAAAGAGGGGGACAACAGUUGGAAACGACUGCUAAUACCGCAUAAGCCCACGGUCCCGCAUGGGAGAGAGGGAAAAGGAGCAAUCCGCUUUGAGAUGGCCUCGCGUCCGAUUAGCUAGUUGGUGAGGUAACGGCCCACCAAGGCGACGAUCGGUAGCCGGACUGAGAGGUUGAACGGCCACAUUGGGACUGAGACACGGCCCAGACUCCUACGGGAGGCAGCAGUGGGGAAUAUUGCACAAUGGGGGAAACCCUGAUGCAGCGACGCCGCGUGGAGGAAGAAGGUCUUCGGAUUGUAAACUCCUGUUGUUGGGGAAAAAGAGGAUGGUACCCAACAAGGAAGUGACGGCUAACUACGUGCCAGCAGCCGCGGUAAAACGUAGGUCACAAGCGUUGUCCGGAAUUACUGGGUGUAAAGGGAGCGCAGGCGGGUAUGCAAGUUGGGAGUGAAAUACAUGGGCUCAACCCAUGAACUGCUCUCAAAACUGUGUAUCUUGAGUAGUGCAGAGGUAGGCG
This 648-nucleotide ribosomal RNA is filed under the name uncultured organism. RNAcentral's name for it is "bacterial SSU rRNA". It matches the Rfam family "Bacterial small subunit ribosomal RNA", at positions 1 to 663 of the family's 1533-position model. The record is from RNAcentral.